This is a long non-coding RNA of Gallus gallus (chicken), 596 nucleotides long. The record is from Ensembl. Lineage: Eukaryota; Metazoa; Chordata; Aves; Galliformes; Phasianidae.
AGCAGAAAUAAUGCAGGCCAUUGUCUGUGAAGUGCAUGGAAAGCUGCUCUCCUUUACAGCAGACUUUAGGUCUGAGCGCAAAGCCAUUCAUGCUGUGAAGGUUGAAUCCUGGCAGAAGCAGUACUGCUCACUGCAAAUGAAGAGGAAUACAGCAUCCUCAGGACAUUAAAGCAAAUAUACAAGGAGUGGACAGGAACAAGCACUUAAAAAUGCACGCUGCUAAGACUGUGAUAACAGGAUCUGGGGAGAAAGGCUUCAUAACUAUCAGUUUUUGGCAUGUAGUUCUGUACUGUCUGGUAAUGAAGAUGAAUCAUAUCUUUUGAAACCCUUUCUUUAAAAUUAGCUUAAAUGAAGGUGCAGGAGUGAGUGUUCUUGACCCUGGGCACUUCUACAGAACGUACAGUGAAGGUGAUUGCUGAAUUAUGUGGCUGAUGUUUGUGAGAUGGGAAAAAGUCCCUGCAGACACAUGAAAGGUAUCCUGGAACUAAGGCGGGCAGUGAUGUGCCCGUGACAGCUGACCUCAUCCUGGCUGGGUGGAUUUGUGCCCUUACAGAGCAGAAGUGAAGAGGAAAAAGCUGCAGCAGCCCCCUGUAUGC